UACGUAGGGUGCGAGCGUUGUCCGGAAUUAUUGGGCGUAAAGAGCUCGUAGGCGGUUUGUCGCGUCGGGAGUGAAAACUCAGGGCUUAACCCUGAGCCUGCUUCCGAUACGGGCAGACUAGAGGUAUGCAGGGGAGAAUGGAAUUCCUGGUGUAGCGGUGAAAUGCGCAGAUAUCAGGAGGAACACCGGUGGCGAAGGCGGUUCUCUGGGCAUUACCUGACGCUGAGGAGCGAAAGUGUGGGGAGCGAACAGG
Molecule: ribosomal RNA, 253 nt
Filed under: uncultured bacterium
Lineage: Bacteria
Description: partial 16S ribosomal RNA
Rfam family: Bacterial small subunit ribosomal RNA
Source: RNAcentral